ACAAAGCACCUCAAAGGCAUCAAAAAUUACUGUUGGCUCUCAGCAUCUAUUUGCUCCCUCAAGGCAUCCCUAAUCCUUACAGCCCUAUGCUGGGUCCCUCUAAUAGUCCUGGUCUCUGGCUGUUC
Non-coding RNA from Chelonoidis abingdonii (Abingdon island giant tortoise), 125 nucleotides. Lineage: Eukaryota; Metazoa; Chordata; Testudines; Testudinidae. The record is from RefSeq and is a predicted model, not a curated record.